GGCUUAGAGUUUGAUCAUGGCUCAGGACGAACGCUGGCGGCGUGCUUAACACAUGCAAGUCGAACGGGGUGUUUAUUUCGGUAAACACCAAGUGGCGAACGGGUGAGUAACGCGUAAGCAAUCUACCUUCAAGAUGGGGACAACACUUCGAAAGGGGUGCUAAUACCGAAUGAAUGAGAGAUGACCGCAUGGAUAUUUCUCUAAAGGAGGCCUCUGAAAAUGCUUCCGCUUGAAGAUGAGCUUGCGUCUGAUUAGCUAGUUGGUGAGGGUAAAGGCCCACCAAGGCGACGAUCAGUAGCCGGUCUGAGAGGAUGAACGGCCACAUUGGGACUGAGACACGGCCCAGACUCCUACGGGAGGCAGCAGUGGGGAAUCUUCCGCAAUGGGUGAAAGCCUGACGGAGCAACGCCGCGUGAACGAAGAAGGUCUUAGGAUCGUAAAGUUCUGUUGUUAGGGGCGAAGGGCAACAUUUUGAAUAAGGGUGUUGUUUGACGGUACUUAACGAGGAAGCCACGGCUAACUACGUGCCAGCAGCCGCGGUAAUACGUAGGCGGCAAGCGUUGUCCGGAAUUAUUGGGCGUAAAGGGAGCGCAGGCGGGAAGUUAAGAGGACUUUAAAAGUGCGGGGCUCAACCCCGUGAGGGGGUCCGAACUGAUUUUCUUGAGUGCAGGAGAGGGAAGCG
Molecule: ribosomal RNA, 682 nt
Filed under: uncultured bacterium
Lineage: Bacteria
Description: bacterial SSU rRNA
Rfam family: Bacterial small subunit ribosomal RNA
Source: RNAcentral